RNAcentral lists this ribosomal RNA (495 nucleotides) under uncultured bacterium. Its description in RNAcentral is "partial 16S ribosomal RNA". It matches the Rfam family "Bacterial small subunit ribosomal RNA", at positions 28 to 507 of the family's 1533-position model. The record is from RNAcentral.
GACGAACGCUGGCGGCGUGCCUAAUACAUGCAAGUAGAACGCUGAAGGAGGAGCUUGCUCUUCUGGAUGAGUUGCGAACGGGUGAGUAACGCGUAGGUAACCUGCCUGGUAGCGGGGGAUAACUAUUGGAAACGAUAGCUAAUACCGCAUAAGAGUAGAUGUUGCAUGACAUUUACUUAAAAGGUGCAAUUGCAUCACUACCAGAUGGACCUGCGUUGUAUUAGCUAGUUGGUGGGGUAACGGCUUACCAAGGCGACGAUACAUAGCCGACCUGAGAGGGUGAUCGGCCACACUGGGACUGAGACACGGCCCAGACUCCUACGGGAGGCAGCAGUAGGGAAUCUUCGGCAAUGGACGGAAGUCUGACCGAGCAACGCCGCGGGAGUGAAGAAGGGUUUCGGAUCGUAAAGCUCGGUUGUAAGAGAAGAACGAGUGUGAGAGUGGAAAGUUCACACUGUGACGGUAUCUUACCAGAAAGGGACGGCUAACUACGUG